AACGAACGCUGGCGGCAUGCCUAACACAUGCAAGUCGAACGAGACCUUCGGGUCUAGUGGCGCACGGGUGCGUAACGCGUGGGAAUCUACCCUCAGGUUCGGAAUAACUCAGAGAAAUUUGAGCUAAUACCGGAUGAUGACGUAAGUCCAAAGAUUUAUCGCCUGAGGAUGAGCCCGCGUAGGAUUAGGUAGUUGGUGAGGUAAAGGCUCACCAAGCCGAGGAUCCUUAGCUGGUCUGAGAGGAUGAUCAGCCACACUGGGACUGAGACACGGCCCAGACUCCUACGGGAGGCAGCAGUGGGGAAUAUUGGACAAUGGGCGAAAGCCUGAUCCAGCAAUGCCGCGUGAGUGAUGAAGGCCUUAGGGUUGUAAAGCUCUUUUACCCGGGAUGAUAAUGACAGUACCGGGAGAAUAAGCACCGGCUAACUCCGUG
Molecule: ribosomal RNA, 433 nt
Filed under: uncultured bacterium
Lineage: Bacteria
Description: partial 16S ribosomal RNA
Rfam family: Bacterial small subunit ribosomal RNA
Source: RNAcentral